RNAcentral lists this ribosomal RNA (492 nucleotides) under uncultured bacterium. RNAcentral's name for it is "partial 16S ribosomal RNA". It matches the Rfam family "Bacterial small subunit ribosomal RNA", at positions 29 to 507 of the family's 1533-position model. The record is from RNAcentral.
AGUGAACGCUGGCGGUAGGCCUAACACAUGCAAGUCGAACGGCAGCACAGUAAGAGCUUGCUCUUACGGGUGGCGAGUGGCGGACGGGUGAGGAAUACAUCGGAAUCUACUUUUUCGUGGGGGAUAACGUAGGGAAACUUACGCUAAUACCGCAUACGACCUACGGGUGAAAGCAGGGGAUCUUCGGCCCUUGCGCGAUUGAAUGAGCCGAUGUCGGAUUAGCUAGUUGGCGGGGUAAAGGCCCACCAAGGCGACGAUCCGUAGCCGGUCUGAGAGGAUGAUCAGCCACACUGGAACUGAGACACGGUCCAGACUCCUACGGGAGGCAGCAGUGGGGAAUAUUGGACAAUGGGCGCAAGCCUGAUCCAGCCAUACCGCGUGGGUGAAGAAGGCCUUCGGGUUGUAAAGCCCUUUUGUUGGGAAAGAAAAGCAGCAGGUUAAUACCCCGCUGUUCUGACGGUACCCAAAGAAUAAGCACCGGCUAACUUCGUG